Molecule: ribosomal RNA, 460 nt
Filed under: uncultured bacterium
Lineage: Bacteria
Description: partial 16S ribosomal RNA
Rfam family: Bacterial small subunit ribosomal RNA
Source: RNAcentral
CCUACGGGAUGCUGCAGUGAGGAAUAUUGGUCAAUGGGCGCGAGCCUGAACCAGCCAAGUCGCGUGAGGGAGGACGGCCCUACGGGUUGUAAACCUCUUUUGCCGGGGAGCAACGGGCGCCACGUGUGGCGUCACUGAGAGUACCCGGAGAAAAAGCAUCGGCUAACUCCGUGCCAGCAGGCGCGGUAAUACGGAGGAUGCGAGGGUUAUCCGGAUUUACUGGGGGUAAAGGGUGCGUAGGCGGGCAUUUAAGCCGGCGGUCAAAUGUCUGGGUGCAACCCCGGCCUGCCGUAGGAACUGGGUGCCUUGAGUGGGCGAGAAGUAUGCGGAAUGCGUGGUGUAGCGGUGAAAUGCAUAGAUAGUACGCAGAACCCCGAUGGCGAAGGCAGCAUACCGGCGCCAGACUGACGCUGAGGCACGAAAGUGCGGGUAUCGAACAGGAUUAGAUACCCUGGUAGUC